GCGGCCCUCCCAGGGCCUUUAUUUUCUGCUCCUUUCUGUGGGAUUCUCUGAGCAUCAGUGGUGGGUCCUCGGGACAUGCCCCCCAGGGGCAGGCUGGCCGGGAGGGUACAGGGACCGGGUGACUUCGGGACUUCUGAGCCUCUUGAUUUUCUGAUGCGUUCUUAAAACUAGAAUAAUACCAGAAUGCCCAGAGCAGUAACUGAGCCCCUGCAGAGGGGGCUGGAGGCUGGGCCGGCCACAAGUGGGCCGGGAGCCCUGUGGCCAUAGGGCCUUGCGGCCGUGGUCGGCGCCGCCCGGCUCUUAGACUCUGGUGUCGGCUGAGGAGUGUGCCGGGCUAGCUGUGUUUGCAGGACCACCAGGUUCGCCCCACAUAGAGCGACAGUGAAAGACUCUCCUCGGAAUUAGGAGUGAUGUUCUGGGCUAGACUGUUUACGAUUCUUGGUCAGGAACAGAGCCGUCUGGGCCAGGAGGGACGCAGAGUCCCGCUGCCCCUAAAGGGCAGGUCUGGGGGGCCAGGGAGCUCGGCUCCGGGCAGUCAGCGUCCAAGGGAAGGUGGCUUGCUCCUCCUCCAUGUGUGAUUACUACACAUGCAAGGACAGGGUAUCUUUGAGGUGGCUCCUGAGAAAAACAGUGGAGAAAACUGUGACUUUAAAAUGUCAGAGAUUUUUGAGUAUAUUAGACUUUUUAAUUGUAUCGGGCAAUUAACAACCCAGAAUCAUGUCUUUCUGGAGUUGAUCCAAGAAAUAGUACCCCGGUGCUGUCAACCCCCCGCCAGAGCUGAGUUUUGAUGGUGAGAAACUAAGCUUAAUUUUGUAUUUAAUUCAGCGAUUCUAGAAGUGGCGGUGCUGAGGUAGCUGAGGCGCGGUGAGUGGCCAGGCACCUGCAGGUGGCAGGAAGCAGGUCGCAGGGACUGGCUAUUUUAGGAAGCAAGAAAACACACUUGGCAAAUUUAUAGUUUGUGGUUAGCAGAAGUGGUUUUCGGUGGUUUUGCCCAGCCCCGCGAGGCUGAACACAGCCAUGGUGCAAAACAACACCUGUGCAAUUUGCGUUUCUAAAAUAAGGCCAAAACGCUGGCAGGAGCCCAGACGCUUCCUUUUUUAACCAUCUGAAUUUACUUUUUCGGUCUUAGCUCACCAACAUCUGAAUUAUACUCAUUUCCAAAGUAAGACGUUUAAGAAAUUAAACUGGUCUCGGGGACAGUUUACAACGUGUUCGUGUAAGGCUUUUUUAAUUAGUUGUAUCCGCAAACGGUUGUUAACCUCAAACCACCUUCCAGCGUCCCGAAACACGGUUUUUUGCAAUCGCUGCGUUCGCAGUAUUCUAAGUUGGACGAUUUUCUCUUCGUGCUGAAGAGGCACGUAGAUAUUCUGAAAAAGUUUGCAGACCUCUUUUCAAGCAUUCCUGUGGGGACAGGUUUUAGGUGAAACGUGUGUGAUUGUCCAGAAUGAGUUCAGUAAAGCGUGUCGCUUGUUGGACUAAGAGGAAGUCCAGUCAGGUCUCGACUCAGAAAAGAACUCUGCCGGGCCCCCGGGCUGACGGAGCCCCAGUGGAGGGCCCGCCUGGCCCCCGGCCCCCCGUGGCUUCUGCCACCCAGCCAUCCGGCUAUGCUUCGACCAGCCGACUUUAAUGGAUUCGGAGGAAUUCUUCAAAGACCCCCACGGUGACCAGGGAGACAAGCUGACACCGAGACGCCGCAUCUGUUCCCCUUGGUCUCAGGAUGUGAGGCCCCGAAUGAAGGUGACCUCAUAGGCCUGGCCUGCUUGGCACAAGGACCCUCCAUAGAGUCGGUGCAGGUCAGCUCAAGCCCGGAGGCGCAGGACCAGAGGCAGAAGACUCACCUGAUCGUGCUGGGGACGCGAGGGCACACUCAGCUGUCCGUCCUGAUGGCCAACUGGAAGCCGGGCCUGCACCACUGCAACGCAAACGUCAAUGGGGCCACCAACAGCCACCCCAAGCUGCACAAGGCCAUCCAGUGGCCAGCGUCCUGGGAAGUGAGGACCUCCCGGUCGACUCGCAGGCCGUCCUUACCAGAGGACUCCACCAAAGCCCCCAGCACUGCCAGGGUCCCAGACUGCGGGAACCACACCCACCCUCCCAGCAUCUCCUGCACGCUGAGCCAGCCCAGCAUGCCUUCCCAGGUGGCAUCCACAGCACCAGCAGAGCACGCUGCCACGGCGCCCUGCUGCCUCGCCGUCCGUGCCCUGACCGUGCCCCAAGCGGCCUCCUGGCUCCUGUGUGAGGUGUCUGGCUUCUCGCCCCCAGACAUCCUCCUCACCUGGCUCAAGGGCCAGACGGAGGUGGACCCUGCUGGGUUUGCCACUGCACGCCCCACGGCCCAGCCUGGGAACAGCACGUUCCGGACCUGGAGCGUCCUGCGUGUCCUCGCCGCCCAGGGCCCUGGCCCGGGCACCUACACGUGUGUGGUCAGGCACAACGCAUCCCGGAAGCUGCUCAACACCAGCUGGAGCCUGGACACUGGUCUUGCCAUGACCCUCCCACCCCCCCAGAGCCAGGACGAGAGCGGCAGAGACUCCACAGACCUGGAGGAUGCCAACAGACUGUGGCCCACGUUCGCAGCCCUCUUCCUCCUCACUCUGCUCUACAGCGGCUUUGUCACCUUCAUCAAGGUGAAGUGACCCCGGGACAGUAGACGCCCAGCACCUGCAGAGAAAGGAGGCUCAGCCUCAUGCUGUCGCCGAGGGCAGAGGGGACCACCCUGGACUCCAGCCCCAUCUCUGCCCCCCCAGCCCACCUCAGUCCACCUCUAUCCAGAGCUCAGCCGCCACACCCAGAGAGGAGGGCGUCACACCCUGCAGUUCCCUGAGCCAGCAGUCCUUACUGCAGCCCCUUGCUUUUUUGCCUGCCAGCCGGCCCCAUAAACAA
This is a non-coding RNA of Zalophus californianus (California sea lion), 2883 nucleotides long. Lineage: Eukaryota; Metazoa; Chordata; Mammalia; Carnivora; Otariidae. The record is from the annotation of a RefSeq genome assembly.